GACGAACGCUGGCGGCGUGCCUAAUACAUGCAAGUCGAACGCAGUGGGGACGGGUGAGUAACACGUGGGUAACCUCCCAUCAGAGGGGAUAACACUUGGAAAAAGGUGCUAAACCGAUAUUUAUGGUUGGACCCGCGGUGCAUUAGCUAGUUGGUGAGGUAACGGCUCACCAAGGCCACGAUGCAUAGCCGACCUGGGAGGGUGAUCGGCCACACUGGGACGGAGACACGGCCCAGACUCCGACGGUAGGCAGCAGUAGGGAAUCUUGGGCAAUGGACGAAAGUCGGACCGAGCAAGGCCGCGGGAGUGAAGAAGGUUUUCGGAUCGUAAAACUCUGUUGUUAGAGAAGCGGUAUCUAACCAGAAAGCCACGGCUAACUACGUGCCAGCAGCCGCGGUAAUAC
Molecule: ribosomal RNA, 403 nt
Filed under: uncultured bacterium
Lineage: Bacteria
Description: partial 16S ribosomal RNA
Rfam family: Bacterial small subunit ribosomal RNA
Source: RNAcentral